RNAcentral lists this ribosomal RNA (633 nucleotides) under uncultured eukaryote. RNAcentral's name for it is "SSU rRNA". It matches the Rfam family "Eukaryotic small subunit ribosomal RNA", at positions 341 to 999 of the family's 1831-position model. The record is from RNAcentral.
CUACCAUGGCAGUCACGGGUAACGGAGAAUUAGGGUUCGAUUCCGGAGAGGGAGCCUGAGAAACGGCUACCACAUCUACGGAAGGCAGCAGGCGCGCAAAUUGCCCAAUCCCGACACGGGGAGGCAGUGACAAGAAAUAACAACUCUAGGUUUUCUUAGAAGUGUAAUGAGGAUAAUUUACAAACCUUACCAAAUGCAAUUGGAGGGCAAGUCUGGUGCCAGCAGCCGCGGUAAUUCCAGCUCCACUAGCGUAUAUUAAAGUUGUUGCAGUUAAAAAGCUCGUAGUUGAAAAUCUGAUUGCUCAGGUCUCCAGCCUUUAGGCGGGGAUUCUGACAGUCAUCCGCUUGCAAACAUAUGUUCGAUCUUCACCGGUUGGCUAUGUGAGUAAGCACUUUACCUUGAGAAAAACAGAGUGUUCCAGGCAGGUUUGUCCGGAAUGCAUUAGCAUGGAAUAAUAGAACAUGACUGAAGUCUAUUUAUUGGUUAAAGGCUUUAGUAAUGAUUAAUAGGAACAGUCGGGGGCAUUCGUACUCAGCAGUCAGAGGUGAAAUUCUAAGAUUUGCUGAAGACGAACUAAUGCGAAAGCAUUUGCCAAGGAUGUUUUCAUUAAUCAAGAACGAAAGUUAGGGGAUC